CUUCACCGUUCCCUCUGCAAGAGUAAAUUAAAGUCUUAACUUCUUAUCUUUAAGACUCCGUGCAGAGUUUCCACGCUGUGGUUUCCGUUUUCCAACUUACCGAAAAAUUGCUUGGCCGUUGUAGAAUUUGUUAGGAGAAUAGUGGCCACCCUGGCUAGUAUCUGCGUCUGGUUAACGCAGACGGAGACGAAAUUGUUAACUUACUGCCUCCCCCAGAGUAUGAUCUAUUACUUGUAUUCUUAAUCUACUUCGGCAAAAAUAGUGCCAGCAUGAGCUACAGGUUUUAGGGAAAACUGUUGAGGAAUCAGGCCUGGAG
RNAcentral lists this long non-coding RNA (316 nucleotides) under Homo sapiens (human). Its description in RNAcentral is "HSALNT0004000". The record is from RNAcentral. Lineage: Eukaryota; Metazoa; Chordata; Mammalia; Primates; Hominidae.